RNAcentral lists this long non-coding RNA (1289 nucleotides) under Anser brachyrhynchus (Pink-footed goose). Its description in RNAcentral is "lncRNA (ENSABRG00000017524.1)". Lineage: Eukaryota; Metazoa; Chordata; Aves; Anseriformes; Anatidae. The record is from RNAcentral.
AUUAUUUCCUCAUCACUGGCACCUACAGGCACCUGGGUAUCAAGAAGACCCAUGGAUACUUUAGAAAGAAAUUCUACGCAGCUGGAGGAGCUAAGAAAAGAAAUCCUGCAAGGCAUCAGCAUGAAAUGCUGCACAGACAGCAACAGCAGGAAGGUAAAGCUUUGGAAAGCACACUGCUGGAAGAAUUAGAGGGAACUUCAGGUAUGAAGGACUCUGCAGGGAGCUCGCAGCCUAGCAGCCAGACAGAUCAGGUGCUACAUAUGGGACAGAAAUUAAAUAAUAACUCAAUUACAAAAAAAUCCCUGCUUGUCCCAGGACCCCUAGAGGUAGUUUCUGUGGGACAGUUGAAACACAAGUCACUCUGAAGCAGUUUUACUGAGGUCCACAGCAAGAAAGUUGCUUUAUUAUUCAUUUUCUUUCCCUGCAUUGCCAGCUCUGGGCCCCCGGAGCUGAGGACGGCUGCAGGGUAGGAGUGAGCUGAACAGCCCAGCAGAACAUGUCCUGCUCCUCUAGCCAUGGCCUUGAGGGCCUCAGCUGGCAGCUGGAGCACAUCCAGACUGGUGCUGAGCUGCCCAACCCCAUUUCCCAGCUGUGCUGGUGUUGGAGGCAGGAACUUUUAGGCAAAAGUUACCAAAAAUAUCAUCCUGCACGCAGUCCCUGAAGCAGAUGUGAGGAGUGGCCGAGUCAGUAGGAAAUCUCACUUCUUUGUGUGAUUUUAUGUCCUAUUUCUCAUCCCCAGCACUCCACAGAGUGAUGGAUAAGCAUUCAAAACAUGGAAAAACCUGAAACAGGGGAGCACUCCUAUCGCUAAUGAAGAUGCAUCAUCACUGGGCUUGGUUCAAAGACCAUUAAAACUUCCGAGUGGUUCCAGUGGGAAUGAGAACAACCCUUUUCCUGGAGAAAUAGAGUCAUAUAUUAAGCCUUAAUUGGGAAGAGUCUCCACAAGGAUUUUCCCUCUGAGGGGAAGGAGCUUUUGUGGAUAUAAUUGUUUUGGAGGGAGUAAUUAUUCCAUGGACAUUUCCCAGGGUGAAUGAUGGCUUUUUUGUCUAUUUUCCUGAGAGUAGAAGAGCUGUAGCUGUUUUUAUGGACCAAUGGCAUUACCUAGCAAACCAGGGACAGGCUGCUGUUUCAACAUAUAUGCACAGCAGUAGGAACAAGUUUUGUACGGUUUAGCUGAAUAUUUCUCUAUUAUUCUUUACCCUGGAGCACGACACAGUUUGCAGCAAUUGAUUGACUUAGCUGGACAGUGAGAUAAUAAAUUACAAAUAAGACCGGCUGGAAGCUGUUCC